Molecule: ribosomal RNA, 253 nt
Filed under: uncultured bacterium
Lineage: Bacteria
Description: partial 16S ribosomal RNA
Rfam family: Bacterial small subunit ribosomal RNA
Source: RNAcentral
UACGUAGGGGGCUAGCGUUGUCCGGAAUCAUUGGGCGUAAAGCGCGUGUAGGCGGUCCGGUAAGUCCGCUGUGAAAGUCGGGGGCUCAACCCUCGAAUGCCGGUGGAUACUGUCGGGCUAGAGUGCGGAAGAGGCGAGUGGAAUUCCUGGUGUAGCGGUGAAAUGCGCAGAUAUCAGGAGGAACACUAAUUGCGAAGGCAGCUCGCUGGGACGUAACUGACGCUGAGACGCGAAAGCGUGGGGAGCAAACAGG